GCGUUGUUCGGAAUUACUGGGCGUAAAGCGUACGUAGGCGGGUUGUUAAGUUAGAGGUGAAAUCCCAGGGCUCAACCCUGGAACUGCCUUUAAUACUGGCAACCUAGAGUUCGAGAGAGGUGAGUGGAAUUCCGAGUGUAGAGGUGAAAUUCGUAGAUAUUAGAAAGAAUACCAAUUGCGAAGGCAGCUUUCUGGAUCAUUACUGACACUGAGGAACGAAAGCAUGGGUAGCGAAGAGGAUUAGAUACCCUCGUAGUCCAUGCCGUAAACGAUGUGUGUUAGACGUUGGAAAUUUAUUUUCAGUGUCGCAGCGAAAGCGAUAAACACACCGCCUGGGGAGUACGACCGCAAGGUUAAAACUCAAAUGAAUUGACGGGGGCCCGCACAAGCGGUGGAGCAUGUGGUUUAAUUCGAUGCAACGCGAAGAACCUUACCUGGCCUUGACAUGCAGAGAACUUUCUAGAGAUAGAUUGGUGCCUUCGGGAACUCUGACACAGGUGCUGCAUGGCU
RNAcentral lists this ribosomal RNA (510 nucleotides) under uncultured Pseudomonadota bacterium. Its description in RNAcentral is "bacterial SSU rRNA". It matches the Rfam family "Bacterial small subunit ribosomal RNA", at positions 538 to 1050 of the family's 1533-position model. The record is from RNAcentral. Lineage: Bacteria; Pseudomonadati; Pseudomonadota.